UGGCGGCCGCCCUGCUGCUGCCGCUGACGGCGCUCACCCUGUUCACGGCGCUGACCCGGGCCCCCGCCGGGGAGCGGCCCGGGA
RNAcentral lists this transfer RNA (84 nucleotides) under Streptomyces sp. PVA_94-07. The record is from RNAcentral. Lineage: Bacteria; Bacillati; Actinomycetota; Actinomycetes; Kitasatosporales; Streptomycetaceae.